RNAcentral lists this ribosomal RNA (490 nucleotides) under uncultured bacterium. RNAcentral's name for it is "partial 16S ribosomal RNA". It matches the Rfam family "Bacterial small subunit ribosomal RNA", at positions 30 to 507 of the family's 1533-position model. The record is from RNAcentral.
AUUGAACGCUGGCGGCAGGCCUAACACAUGCAAGUCGAACGGUAACAGGAAGAAUCUUGCUUCUUUGCUGACGAGUGGCGGACGGGUGAGUCAUGUCUGGGAAACUGCCUGAUGGAGGGGGAUAACUACUGGAAACGGUAGCUAAUACCGCAUAACGUCGCAAGACCAAAGAGGGGGACCUUCUUGCCUCUUGCCAUCGGAUGUGCCCAGAUGGUAUUAGCUAGUAGGUGGGGUAACGGCUCACCUAGGCGACGAUCCCUAGCUGGUCUGAGAGGAUGACCAGCCACACUGGAACUGAGACACGGUCAAGACUCCUACGGGAGGCAGCAGUGGGGAAUAUUGGACAAUGGGCGCAAGCCUGAUGCAGCCAUGCCGCGUGUAUGAAGAAGGCCUUCGGGUUGUAAAGUACUUUCAGCGGGGAGGAAGGGAGUAAAGUUAAUACCUUGGCUCAUUGACGUUACCCGCAGAAGAAGCACCGGCUAACUCCGUG